RNAcentral lists this ribosomal RNA (2779 nucleotides) under Escherichia coli. Its description in RNAcentral is "bacterial LSU rRNA". It matches the Rfam family "Bacterial large subunit ribosomal RNA". The record is from RNAcentral. Lineage: Bacteria; Pseudomonadati; Pseudomonadota; Gammaproteobacteria; Enterobacterales; Enterobacteriaceae.
CACACUAUCAUUAACUGAAUCCAUAGGUUAAUGAGGCGAACCGGGGGAACUGAAACAUCUAAGUACCCCGAGGAAAAGAAAUCAACCGAGAUUCCCCCAGUAGCGGCGAGCGAACGGGGAGCAGCCCAGAGCCUGAAUCAGUGUGUGUGUUAGUGGAAGCGUCUGGAAAGGCGCGCGAUACAGGGUGACAGCCCCGUACACAAAAAUGCACAUGCUGUGAGCUCGAUGAGUAGGGCGGGACACGUGGUAUCCUGUCUGAAUAUGGGGGGACCAUCCUCCAAGGCUAAAUACUCCUGACUGACCGAUAGUGAACCAGUACCGUGAGGGAAAGGCGAAAAGAACCCCGGCGAGGGGAGUGAAAAAGAACCUGAAACCGUGUACGUACAAGCAGUGGGAGCACGCUUAGGCGUGUGACUGCGUACCUUUUGUAUAAUGGGUCAGCGACUUAUAUUCUGUAGCAAGGUUAACCGAAUAGGGGAGCCGAAGGGAAACCGAGUCUUAACUGGGCGUUAAGUUGCAGGGUAUAGACCCGAAACCCGGUGAUCUAGCCAUGGGCAGGUUGAAGGUUGGGUAACACUAACUGGAGGACCGAACCGACUAAUGUUGAAAAAUUAGCGGAUGACUUGUGGCUGGGGGUGAAAGGCCAAUCAAACCGGGAGAUAGCUGGUUCUCCCCGAAAGCUAUUUAGGUAGCGCCUCGUGAAUUCAUCUCCGGGGGUAGAGCACUGUUUCGGCAAGGGGGUCAUCCCGACUUACCAACCCGAUGCAAACUGCGAAUACCGGAGAAUGUUAUCACGGGAGACACACGGCGGGUGCUAACGUCCGUCGUGAAGAGGGAAACAACCCAGACCGCCAGCUAAGGUCCCAAAGUCAUGGUUAAGUGGGAAACGAUGUGGGAAGGCCCAGACAGCCAGGAUGUUGGCUUAGAAGCAGCCAUCAUUUAAAGAAAGCGUAAUAGCUCACUGGUCGAGUCGGCCUGCGCGGAAGAUGUAACGGGGCUAAACCAUGCACCGAAGCUGCGGCAGCGACGCUUAUGCGUUGUUGGGUAGGGGAGCGUUCUGUAAGCCUGUGAAGGUGUACUGUGAGGUAUGCUGGAGGUAUCAGAAGUGCGAAUGCUGACAUAAGUAACGAUAAAGCGGGUGAAAAGCCCGCUCGCCGGAAGACCAAGGGUUCCUGUCCAACGUUAAUCGGGGCAGGGUGAGUCGACCCCUAAGGCGAGGCCGAAAGGCGUAGUCGAUGGGAAACAGGUUAAUAUUCCUGUACUUGGUGUUACUGCGAAGGGGGGACGGAGAAGGCUAUGUUGGCCGGGCGACGGUUGUCCCGGUUUAAGCGUGUAGGCUGGUUUUCCAGGCAAAUCCGGAAAAUCAAGGCUGAGGCGUGAUGACGAGGCACUACGGUGCUGAAGCAACAAAUGCCCUGCUUCCAGGAAAAGCCUCUAAGCAUCAGGUAACAUCAAAUCGUACCCCAAACCGACACAGGUGGUCAGGUAGAGAAUACCAAGGCGCUUGAGAGAACUCGGGUGAAGGAACUAGGCAAAAUGGUGCCGUAACUUCGGGAGAAGGCACGCUGAUAUGUAGGUGAAGCGACUUGCUCGUGGAGCUGAAAUCAGUCGAAGAUACCAGCUGGCUGCAACUGUUUAUUAAAAACACAGCACUGUGCAAACACGAAAGUGGACGUAUACGGUGUGACGCCUGCCCGGUGCCGGAAGGUUAAUUGAUGGGGUCAGCGCAAGCGAAGCUCUUGAUCGAAGCCCCGGUAAACGGCGGCCGUAACUAUAACGGUCCUAAGGUAGCGAAAUUCCUUGUCGGGUAAGUUCCGACCUGCACGAAUGGCGUAAUGAUGGCCAGGCUGUCUCCACCCGAGACUCAGUGAAAUUGAACUCGCUGUGAAGAUGCAGUGUACCCGCGGCAAGACGGAAAGACCCCGUGAACCUUUACUAUAGCUUGACACUGAACAUUGAGCCUUGAUGUGUAGGAUAGGUGGGAGGCUUUGAAGUGUGGACGCCAGUCUGCAUGGAGCCGACCUUGAAAUACCACCCUUUAAUGUUUGAUGUUCUAACGUGGACCCGUGAUCCGGGUUGCGGACAGUGUCUGGUGGGUAGUUUGACUGGGGCGGUCUCCUCCUAAAGAGUAACGGAGGAGCACGAAGGUUGGCUAAUCCUGGUCGGACAUCAGGAGGUUAGUGCAAUGGCAUAAGCCAGCUUGACUGCGAGCGUGACGGCGCGAGCAGGUGCGAAAGCAGGUCAUAGUGAUCCGGUGGUUCUGAAUGGAAGGGCCAUCGCUCAACGGAUAAAAGGUACUCCGGGGAUAACAGGCUGAUACCGCCCAAGAGUUCAUAUCGACGGCGGUGUUUGGCACCUCGAUGUCGGCUCAUCACAUCCUGGGGCUGAAGUAGGUCCCAAGGGUAUGGCUGUUCGCCAUUUAAAGUGGUACGCGAGCUGGGUUUAGAACGUCGUGAGACAGUUCGGUCCCUAUCUGCCGUGGGCGCUGGAGAACUGAGGGGGGCUGCUCCUAGUACGAGAGGACCGGAGUGGACGCAUCACUGGUGUUCGGGUUGUCAUGCCAAUGGCACUGCCCGGUAGCUAAAUGCGGAAGAGAUAAGUGCUGAAAGCAUCUAAGCACGAAACUUGCCCCGAGAUGAGUUCUCCCUGACUCCUUGAGAGUCCUGAAGGAACGUUGAAGACGACGACGUUGAUAGGCCGGGUGUGUAAGCGCAGCGAUGCGUUGAGCUAACCGGUACUAAUGAACCGUGAGGCUUAACCUUACAACGCCGAAGCUGUU